UGGGCUAUAGCUCAGUGGUAGAGUACUUGCUUAGCAUGCACAAGGUCCUGGGUUCAAUCCCCAGUAACUCCA
Molecule: transfer RNA, 72 nt
Filed under: Camelus bactrianus (Bactrian camel)
Lineage: Eukaryota; Metazoa; Chordata; Mammalia; Artiodactyla; Camelidae
Also listed under: 2 other names
Rfam family: tRNA
About the family: Transfer RNA (tRNA) molecules are approximately 80 nucleotides in length.
Source: Rfam by way of RNAcentral